This 446-nucleotide ribosomal RNA is filed under the name uncultured bacterium. RNAcentral's name for it is "partial 16S ribosomal RNA". It matches the Rfam family "Bacterial small subunit ribosomal RNA", at positions 338 to 795 of the family's 1533-position model. The record is from RNAcentral.
CCUACGGGCGGCAGCAGUCGAGAAUCAUUCACAAUGGGGGAAACCCUGAUGGUGCGACGCCGCGUGGGGGAAUGAAGGUCUUCGGAUUGUAAACCCCUGUCAUGUGGGAGCAAAUUAAAAAGAUAGUACCACAAGAGGAAGAGACGGCUAACUCUGUGCCAGCAGCCGCGGUAAUCCAGAGGUCUCAAGCGUUGUUCGGAAUCACUGGGCGUAAAGCGUGCGUAGGCUGUUUCGUAAGUCGUGUGUGAAAGGCGCGGGCUCAACCCGCGGACGGCACAUGAUACUGCGAGACUAGAGUAAUGGAGGGGGAACCGGAAUUCUCGGUGUAGCAGUGAAAUGCGUAGAUAUCGAGAGGAACACUCGUGGCGAAGGCGGGUUCCUGGACAUUAACUGACGCUGAGGCACGAAGGCCAGGGGAGCGAAAGGGAUUAGAUACCCCGGUAGUC